RNAcentral lists this ribosomal RNA (434 nucleotides) under uncultured bacterium. Its description in RNAcentral is "partial 16S ribosomal RNA". It matches the Rfam family "Bacterial small subunit ribosomal RNA", at positions 29 to 507 of the family's 1533-position model. The record is from RNAcentral.
AGCGAACGCUGGCGGCAGGCCUAACACAUGCAAGUCGAACGAACCUUUCGGGGUUAGUGGCGGACGGGUGAGUAACACGUGGGAACGUGCCUUUAGGUUCGGAAUAACUCAGGGAAACUUGUGCUAAUACCGAACGUGCCCUUCGGGGGAAAGAUUUAUCGCCUUUAGAGCGGCCCGCGUCUGAUUAGCUAGUUGGUUGAGGUAAUGGCUCACCAAGGCGACGAUCAGUAGCUGGUCUGAGAGGAUGAUCAGCCACAUUGGGACUGAGACACGGCCCAAACUCCUACGUGAGGCAGCAGUGGGGAAUCUUGCGCAAUGGGCGAAAGCCUGACGCAGCCAUGCCGCGUGAAUGAUGAAGGUCUUAGGAUUGUAAAAUUCUUUCACCGGGGACGAUAAUGACGGUACCCGGAGAAGAAGCCCCGGCUAACUUCGUG